GAUCAUGGGCUCAGGAUGAACGCUGGCGGCAUGCCUAAUACAUGCAAGUCGAACGAGAGGAAGGAAAGCUUGCUUUUCUGAAUCUAGUGGCGAACGGGUGAGUAACACGUAGGUAACCUGCCCAUGUGCCCGGGAUAACUUCUGGAAACGGAUGCUAAAACCGGAUAGGUAGCAGACAAGCAUUUGACUGCUAUUAAAGUGGCCUUGGCCAUGAACAUGGAUGGACCUGCGGUG
Molecule: ribosomal RNA, 234 nt
Filed under: uncultured bacterium
Lineage: Bacteria
Description: partial 16S ribosomal RNA
Rfam family: Bacterial small subunit ribosomal RNA
Source: RNAcentral